Non-coding RNA from Camellia sinensis, 424 nucleotides. The record is from RefSeq and is a predicted model, not a curated record. NCBI's taxonomy places the organism in Eukaryota, Viridiplantae, Streptophyta, Magnoliopsida, Ericales, Theaceae.
UGCACAAAAUUCAAGUGGUAUAAUUAUAUCAUCACAAAUUUUAUAUUAUGAGAUGGCUACAAUGACUCAUUUUGGAAUAUAAGGGAAGACACCUGCACCAGGUCAGGCCGUAUUCUCUGCUUCUAAAUUUGCUCUAAUUGGGUACUUUCACACUCUGCGUUCUGAGGUGCAAGCUUGGAUUUAAGGAACAUAUAUCUCCAUGGCAACAAACUAGAACUCAACUGGUACCUUGUACAGUGGUGAACACCAACAUUGUAGGUUUUGACUUUACUAGCAUUCUAUUUGGAUUGUAAUUUUUUCAUAAAAGAACUUUUUCCAAGUUUUUAGUUGUAAUAACGUUUACAUAUGGCUCCAAUUUUGCGACUCAAAUGGAAUGCUUGAUUAAAUUACAAUGUUAUACGAUAUGAAUUCUUGUCAUUGCUAU